Molecule: ribosomal RNA, 1330 nt
Filed under: uncultured bacterium
Lineage: Bacteria
Description: bacterial SSU rRNA
Rfam family: Bacterial small subunit ribosomal RNA
Source: RNAcentral
GACGAACGCUGGCGGCGUGCUUAACACAUGCAAGUCGAACGGACCCUUUGGGGUUAGUGGCGAACGGGUGAGUAACACGUGGGUGAUCUGCCCUGCACUUUGGGAUAAGCCUGGGAAACUGGGUCUAAUACCGGAUAGGACUACGCACUGCAUGGUGUGUGGUGGAAAGCUUUUGCGGUGUGGGAUGGGCCCGCGGCCUAUCAGCUUGUUGGUGGGGUGAUGGCCUACCAAGGCGACGACGGGUAGCCGGCCUGAGAGGGUGACCGGCCACACUGGGACUGAGAUACGGCCCAGACUCCUACGGGAGGCAGCAGUGGGGAAUAUUGCACAAUGGGCGCAAGCCUGAUGCAGCGACGCCGCGUGAGGGAUGACGGCCUUCGGGUUGUAAACCUCUUUCGCCAGGGACGAAGCGCAAGUGACGGUACCUGGAGAAGAAGGACCGGCCAACUACGUGCCAGCAGCCGCGGUAAUACGUAGGGUCCGAGCGUUGUCCGGAAUUACUGGGCGUAAAGAGCUCGUAGGUGGUUUGUCGCGUUGUUCGUGAAAACUCACAGCUUAACUGUGGGCGUGCGGGCGAUACGGGCAGACUGGAGUACUGCAGGGGAGACUGGAAUUCCUGGUGUAGCGGUGGAAUGCGCAGAUAUCAGGAGGAACACCGGUGGCGAAGGCGGGUCUCUGGGCAGUAACUGACGCUGAGGAGCGAAAGCGUGGGGAGCGAACAGGAUUAGAUACCCUGGUAGUCCACGCCGUAAACGGUGGGUACUAGGUGUGGGUUUCCUUCCUUGGGAUCCGUGCCGUAGCUAACGCAUUAAGUACCCCGCCUGGGGAGUACGGCCGCAAGGCUAAAACUCAAAGGAAUUGACGGGGGCCCGCACAAGCGGCGGAGCAUGUGGAUUAAUUCGAUGCAACGCGAAGAACCUUACCUGGGUUUGACAUGCACAGGACGCCGGCAGAGAUGUCGGUUCCCUUGUGGCCUGUGUGCAGGUGGCGCAUGGCUGUCGUCAGCUCGUGUCGUGAGAUGUUGGGUUAAGUCCCGCAACGAGCGCAACCCUUGUCUCAUGUUGCCAGCACGUUAUGGUGGGGACUCGUGAGAGACUGCCGGGGUCAACUCGGAGGAAGGUGGGGAUGACGUCAAGUCAUCAUGCCCCUUAUGUCCAGGGCUUCACACAUGCUACAAUGGCCGGUACAAAGGGCUGCGAUGCCGUGAGGUGGAGCGAAUCCUUUCAAAGCCGGUCUCAGUUCGGAUCGGGGUCUGCAACUCGACCCCGUGAAGUCGGAGUCGCUAGUAAUCGCAGAUCAGCAACGCUGCGGUGAAUACGUUCCCGGGCCU